GACGAACGCUGGCGGCGUGCUUAACACAUGCAAGUCGAACGGAAAGGCCCUGCUUUUGUGGGGUGCUCGAGUGGCGAACGGGUGAGUAACACGUGAGUAACCUGCCCUUGACUUUGGGAUAACUUCAGGAAACUGGGGCUAAUACCGGAUAGGAGCUCCUGCUGCAUGGUGGGGGUUGGAAAGUUUCGGCGGUUGGGGAUGGACUCGCGGCUUAUCAGCUUGUUGGUGGGGUAGUGGCUUACCAAGGCUUUGACGGGUAGCCGGCCUGAGAGGGUGACCGGCCAAAAUGGGACUGAGAUGCGGCCCCGACUCCUAAGGGAGGGAGCAGAGGGGAAUAUUGAACAAUGGGAGGAAGCCUGAUGCAACAACGCCGCGUGCGGGAUGACGGCCUUCGGGUUGUAAACCGCUUUCGCCUGUGACGAAGCGUGAGUGACGGUAAUGGGUAAAGAAGCACCGGCUAACUACGUG
This 468-nucleotide ribosomal RNA is filed under the name uncultured bacterium. RNAcentral describes it as "partial 16S ribosomal RNA". It matches the Rfam family "Bacterial small subunit ribosomal RNA", at positions 28 to 507 of the family's 1533-position model. The record is from RNAcentral.